This is a long non-coding RNA of Numida meleagris (helmeted guineafowl), 305 nucleotides long. The record is from Ensembl. NCBI's taxonomy places the organism in Eukaryota, Metazoa, Chordata, Aves, Galliformes, Numididae.
UGGGAGGACAACAACAGCUGGAUGCGGGAGGACAACAACAGCUGGAUGCGGGAGGACAACAGCUGGAUGCGGGAGGACAACAACAGCUGGAUGCGGGAGGACAACAACAGUCGGAUGCAGGCGGGCAACAGUCGGACAUGGGCUGGCAACAGUCGGACAUGGGCUAGUAACAGUCAGAUGCAGGCGGGCAACAGUCAGAGGCUGGCAACAGUCGGACGCGGGCAGGCAACAGUCAGAUGCAGGUGGGCAACAGUCGGACAGGGGCUGGCAACAGUCGGACAUGGGCAGGCAACAGUCAGAGGCUG